GCGUGGUAGCUCAGUUGGUGAGAGCGUCGGAUUCAUAACCCGGAGGUCGACGGUUCGAUUCCGUCCCAC
RNAcentral lists this transfer RNA (69 nucleotides) under uncultured Fodinibius sp. It matches the Rfam family "tRNA". From Rfam's summary of the family: Transfer RNA (tRNA) molecules are approximately 80 nucleotides in length. Their secondary structure includes four short double-helical elements and three loops (D, anti-codon, and T loops). Lineage: Bacteria; Pseudomonadati; Balneolota; Balneolia; Balneolales; Balneolaceae. The record is from RNAcentral.